RNAcentral lists this ribosomal RNA (700 nucleotides) under Bacillus velezensis. RNAcentral describes it as "bacterial SSU rRNA". It matches the Rfam family "Bacterial small subunit ribosomal RNA", at positions 32 to 717 of the family's 1533-position model. The record is from RNAcentral. Lineage: Bacteria; Bacillati; Bacillota; Bacilli; Caryophanales; Bacillaceae.
UCCGUUGGGGCGUGCUAUACAUGCAAGUCGAGCGGACAGAUGGGAGCUUGCUCCCUGAUGUUAGCGGCGGACGGGUGAGUAACACGUGGGUAACCUGCCUGUAAGACUGGGAUAACUCCGGGAAACCGGGGCUAAUACCGGAUGGUUGUCUGAACCGCAUGGUUCAGACAUAAAAGGUGGCUUCGGCUACCACUUACAGAUGGACCCGCGGCGCAUUAGCUAGUUGGUGAGGUAACGGCUCACCAAGGCGACGAUGCGUAGCCGACCUGAGAGGGUGAUCGGCCACACUGGGACUGAGACACGGCCCAGACUCCUACGGGAGGCAGCAGUAGGGAAUCUUCCGCAAUGGACGAAAGUCUGACGGAGCAACGCCGCGUGAGUGAUGAAGGUUUUCGGAUCGUAAAGCUCUGUUGUUAGGGAAGAACAAGUGCCGUUCAAAUAGGGCGGCACCUUGACGGUACCUAACCAGAAAGCCACGGCUAACUACGUGCCAGCAGCCGCGGUAAUACGUAGGUGGCAAGCGUUGUCCGGAAUUAUUGGGCGUAAAGGGCUCGCAGGCGGUUUCUUAAGUCUGAUGUGAAAGCCCCCGGCUCAACCGGGGAGGGUCAUUGGAAACUGGGGAACUUGAGUGCAGAAGAGGAGAGUGGAAUUCCACGUGUAGCGGUGAAAUGCGUAGAGAUGUGGAGGAACACCAGUGGCG